ACGAUCCCAUAUGCCCGACAUAGC
Molecule: non-coding RNA, 24 nt
Filed under: Arabidopsis thaliana (thale cress)
Lineage: Eukaryota; Viridiplantae; Streptophyta; Magnoliopsida; Brassicales; Brassicaceae
Source: RNAcentral